AGCAGCCGCGGUAAUUCCAGCUCCAAUAGCGUAUAUUAAAGUUGUUGCAGUUAAAAAGCUCGUAGUUGAAUUUCGGAAUCAAUAUGUCGGUCGUGCCUUCGGUACGUACUGGUAUCAUUGGUUUCUCCUUUCUGACGAACCAUGAUGUCAUUAAUUUGGUGUUAGUGGGGG
RNAcentral lists this ribosomal RNA (171 nucleotides) under uncultured Glomus. RNAcentral's name for it is "partial 18S ribosomal RNA". It matches the Rfam family "Eukaryotic small subunit ribosomal RNA", at positions 569 to 739 of the family's 1831-position model. The record is from RNAcentral. Lineage: Eukaryota; Fungi; Glomeromycota; Glomeromycetes; Glomerales; Glomeraceae.